This 715-nucleotide ribosomal RNA is filed under the name Vibrio sp. MED227. Its description in RNAcentral is "bacterial SSU rRNA". It matches the Rfam family "Bacterial small subunit ribosomal RNA", at positions 393 to 1100 of the family's 1533-position model. Lineage: Bacteria; Pseudomonadati; Pseudomonadota; Gammaproteobacteria; Vibrionales; Vibrionaceae. The record is from RNAcentral.
CAUGCCGCGUGUAUGAAGAAGGCCUUCGGGUUGUAAAGUACUUUCAGUCGUGAGGAAGGGGGUAAGCUUAAUACGCUUAUCUCUUGACGUUAGCGACAGAAGAAGCACCGGCUAACUCCGUGCCAGCAGCCGCGGUAAUACGGAGGGUGCGAGCGUUAAUCGGAAUUACUGGGCGUAAAGCGCAUGCAGGUGGUUCAAUAAGUCAGAUGUGAAAGCCCGGGGCUCAACCUCGGAACUGCAUUUGAAACUGUUGGACUAGAGUACUGUAGAGGGGGGUAGAAUUUCAGGUGUAGCGGUGAAAUGCGUAGAGAUCUGAAGGAAUACCAGUGGCGAAGGCGGCCCCCUGGACAGAUACUGACACUCAGAUGCGAAAGCGUGGGGAGCAAACAGGAUUAGAUACCCUGGUAGUCCACGCCGUAAACGAUGUCUACUUGGAGGUUGUGGCCUUGAGCCGUGGCUUUCGGAGCUAACGCGUUAAGUAGACCGCCUGGGGAGUACGGUCGCAAGAUUAAAACUCAAAUGAAUUGACGGGGGCCCGCACAAGCGGUGGAGCAUGUGGUUUAAUUCGAUGCAACGCGAAGAACCUUACCUACUCUUGACAUCUACAGAAUCCAGCGGAGACGCAGGNGUGCCUUCGGGAACUGUAAGACAGGUGCUGCAUGGCUGUCGUCAGCUCGUGUUGUGAAAUGUUGGGUUAAGUCCCGCAACGAGCGCA